This is a long non-coding RNA of Suricata suricatta (meerkat), 524 nucleotides long. RefSeq lists it as uncharacterized. Lineage: Eukaryota; Metazoa; Chordata; Mammalia; Carnivora; Herpestidae. The transcript has 2 exons. The record is from RefSeq and is a predicted model, not a curated record.
UCUGCCCAGUGUCAGCCUGUUGACAACCCCAGGCAGGAGUCAUGGGAUCUUUGGAUGAGGGGAUAAAGUGAGGCCUCCAGUUGUCAUCCUAAACCCUCACAGACGGCCAUUAAACCAAGACUCUGCCUUUUUAUAACUCAAAGAAGUCAGCUGAAGUGGCUUAGAUGAGGACAUCCCUGUGGGUGUCCAGGAGUGUGACAGCUGUGCGUUUGUCAUCUAUGGCCUUUAUUAUGUUGAGGAGAAAAUUCUAGGUUUUUCAAGCCUGGCACAAAGGUUGCGUACUCAGAAGCCAUUCCAUUUAAUCUCAGCAUUUCUAUCUUCACUUGUCCGACCCUCCAUGAGGAGUUAAGUUCCCUGACAUCUUUGAAUUCUGUGAGAACACAUACCUCCUCAGUAUCUGGCACAGUGCUGCCAUUUCACAACUGAGGAGGCUUGGGAAAGGCAGAGAGGCAGGACAGCUCCAGAGUCUUGGAAUGGAUAAUAAACAUCAACAACAACAAUAAAACUAUGUGCUUUUUGUAUCA